Molecule: ribosomal RNA, 2980 nt
Filed under: SAR202 cluster bacterium AG-430-C21
Lineage: Bacteria; Bacillati; Chloroflexota; Dehalococcoidia
Description: bacterial LSU rRNA
Rfam family: Bacterial large subunit ribosomal RNA
Source: RNAcentral
UCAAGUUAUUAAGGGUUUACGGUGGAUGCCUUGGGUCCAAGGGCCGAAGAAGGGCGCGGAAAGACUGCGAUAAGCCUCGAUUAGCUGUCUAUCAAGCUUAGUCGGGGGUACCCGAAUGGGGAAACCCGUCAUGGGUUAUACCAUGACAUUCAAAUGAAUGGGAACCGUGUGAACUGAAACAUCUAAGUAACACGAGGAAUAUAAAUCAAAAGAGAUUCUCCUAGUAGUGGCGAACGAACGGGGAACAGCCUAAACUGUGUGGGCUUAACGGAAUGAGGUCCUAUGUCCAUGCAGGGUUGUAACAAGUUUCUGUCCUGACCUCAAUAAGGACAAGAAGUUACAAAUUUUUUUAUUAGUCAAACGAAUCUGGAAAGAACGACCGGAGAAGGUGAUAGUCCUGUAGGCGAAAAUAAAAAAACUUCUGAAACUCUGUUGAGUACCACGGGACACGAGAAAUCUUGUGGGAAUCUGGGGAGACCACUCUCCAAGGCUAAAUACUCUUGGACACCGAUAGCGAACCAGUACUGUGAAGGAAAGGUGAAAAGUACCCCGGGAGGGGAGUGAAAUAGACCUGAAACCGUAAACUUACAAGCCGUAGAAGGCUCGAUACGUCGGGCUAACUGCGUGCCUAUUGAAGAAUGAGCCGGCGAGUUAAUUUAUGCAGCACGGUUAAGGAAUUUUAAUUCCGGAGCCAUAGCGAAAGCGAGUCUGAAUAGGGCGAUUGAGUUGUUUGAAUUAGACCCGAAACCGAGUGAUCUACCCUUGGCCAGGUUGAAGCCCAGAUAGUCUCUGGGUGAAGGACCGAACCCGUGUCUGGUACAAAAGGCUGGGAUGAGCUGAGGGUAGGGGUAAAAUGCCAAUCGAACUCGGAGAUAGCUGGUUCUCCCCGAAAUGUAUUUAGGUACAGCGUUCAGGGAGUCUUGUGGAGGUAGGGCACUGGAUAGGUACGGGGGCGUGAGCCUACCAAACUUAACCAAACCACGAAUGCCGCAAGAUGCUCCUGGGCAGUGAGACAGUGGGGGAUAAGCUCCAUUGUCGAGAGGGAAACAGCCCAGAUCGUAGGCUAAGGUCCCUAAGUGUGUAUUAAGUGUGAAACGAAGUGAAAACGCUAAAACAGCUAGGAGGUUGGCUUAGAAGCAGCCACCCUUUAAAGAGUGCGUAAUAGCUCACUAGUCGAGGGUUUUUGCGCGGAAAAUGUAACGGGGCUAAAUACACCACCGAAGCCACGGGCCCGUAUUUAUACGGGCGGUAGGGGAGCGUUGCCAGGGCGUCGAAGCUGAGUUGUGAGACUUGGUGGAGCGCUGGGAAGUGAGAAUGCCGGCAUGAGUAGCGACAAUCCUGGUGAGAAUCCAGGACACCGAAAGCCUAAGGUUUCCUACGCAAUGCUGAUCAGCGUAGGGUAAGUCGGUCCUAAGCCGUAGCGUGUAGCGAAGGCGAUGGACAGCAGGUCAAAAUUCCUGCACCGCAGAUUAAGCGUUAUAAAGCAAAGGGGGGACACGGGAAGAUAGGCGGAGCGCACCCAUUGGACAUGGUGCGUCUGGUCUUGAAGGCCAUGCCAGGACAGGCAAAUCCGUUCUGGCGUUAUGAGCUGAGGGGACUGGAAACUCCAGGGCAUAUGCCCUAGGGAAUUCCGUUGAUUCUAUGCCGUCGAGAAAAGCCUCGUUGCAAGUUUUUUCAGCGUCCGUACCGCAAACCGACACAGGUAGGCAGGGGUAAGUAUCCCUAGGUGAACGAGAGAACCCUCGUUAAGGAAUUCGACAAGUUGACUCCGUAACUUCGGGAUAAGGAGUACCCAUGGGGUGAUAGUCAUUUACUGACUGGAUGCCCUUGUGGGUGGCACUAAACAGGCUCAGGCGACUGUUUAUCAAAAACACAGGUCUCUGCUAAAGCGAAAGCUGAUGUAUAGGGGCUGACACCUGCCCAGUGCCGGAAGGUUAAGGGGAUGGGUUCGUGGUUUACCACAAAGCUCAGAACCGAAGCCCCGGUGAACGGCGGCCGUAACUAUAACGGUCCUAAGGUAGCGAAAUCCCUUGUCGGGUAAGUUCCGACCCGCACGAAUGGUGUAACGACCUGAGCGUUGUCUCAACGAGGGACUCGGUGAAAUUGCAAGACCCGUGAAGAUGCGGGUUACGCGUGACAGGACAAAAAGACCCCGUGGAGCUUUACUGUAGCUUGGCACUGGACUUGGGUUAUAAAUGUGUAGGAUAGGCGGGAGACUUUGAAGCAGAUACGCCAGUAUUUGUGGAGUCGCUCUUGAAAUACCGCUCUUUUGUAAUUUGGGCCCUAACUCAACGAAAAUUGAGGACCCUGCCAGGUGGGCAGUUUGACUGGGGCGGUCGCCUCCCAAAAGGUAACGGAGGCGCCCAAAGGUUCCCUCAAGGUGGAUGGAAAUCACCUGCAGAGUGCAUUGGCAUAAGGGAGCUUGACUGUGAGACAUACAAGUCGAGCAGGGACGAAAGUCGGGCAAAGUGAUCCCACGAUUCCGAGUGGAAGGGUCGUGGCUUAACGGAUAAAAGCUACCCCGGGGAUAACAGGCUUAUCUCCCCCAAGAGUUCACAUCGACGGGGAGGUUUGGCACCUCGAUGUCGGCUCGUCGCAUCCUGGGGCUGUAGAAGGUCCCAAGGGUUGGUCUGUUCGCCCAUGAAAGCGGCACGCGAGCUGGGUUCAGAACGUCGUGAGACAGUUCGGUCUCUAUCCGUCAUGCGCGUAGGAAAUUUGAGGAGAGCUUUCCCUAGUACGAGAGGACCGGGAAGGACAAACCUCUGGUGUACCAGUUGUUCCGCCAGGAGCAUAGCUGGGUAGCUAUGUUUGGAUGUGAUAAGCGCUGAAAGCAUCUAAGCGCGAAGCCAACUCCAAGAUGAGAUUUCCCUAUGGUUUCGACCAUUAAGGCCCCCAGCAGACUACUGGGUUGAUAGGCCACAGGUGUAAGGCAGGCAACUGCUUCAGCUGAGUGGUACUAAUCGGCCGUAGACUUGACUUA